UUCCAGCUGGCCCCAGCUCCUGUCCCUGCUGCUGUUACCUGGCCCACAGUCUUUUUCUCCCUCUUUUCCAUUCUCCUUCCUUGGGCCCUGCUGCCACAGAGCCCCAGUCUCCCCACUCUUUCUGCUGUUGAGCCCCACAGAAGCAGGUUCUUUCUCCCUUCCCCCUCCAGGGAACAGGAUCCAGAGGGAGAAUCCCCUGAGGAGGAAAGGAAGAACCCCAUGGGGAAAGAUAUGGGGUGAGGGAUGAGCAGUCCCUUCAAAGCCCAACUACAUCUUCUGCAGUGAAGUCAUAAUCCUUAGUUCAUGACCAGACAAAUCAGCUGCCAAGAAAUCUGUGACAUCAUGAGUUCAGCUUCACUGCAGGAUCAAAUAGUUGCAGACAAGUGACUAUGAGGUAGAAAGUUUAAGUGAAAAUGGCUCUGGUAAUUAAGUAAAAAGUCCUUCUUAAAAUCCUGGAGCUAUGAACCUGACAUAGGUUGUAUUAAAAAAGGAGUUAAAGACGAAGGAGGGGAAAAAGUGAAACAGGAGAAUGCUGGAAAGCAAGGAGAUGAAAGACAUACAGGAAGGCAGUGGAUUAAUGGACAAGCAUUUAUGUUGUGAUCAGUUAAUGCACAGAGAUUAGCAUGCAAGGUAUUUUCUGCAAGAAACAUCCUGUCAGCCACACAGUGAUAUGCAAAAGAUGGAGCAGCCAAAUGUCAAACAAAUUGUAACUCAGUCUUCCCUUUACCUUCUCUCAUCCUGGGCCCGGAGGUUAGGCUGGGGGAAAGAUCAGAGGGAGAAAAACAACACCAAGGAAUCGGUAGGAUGCCUCAAGUUCCGCCAAGCAGAACCGUCCCUUCAAGGCGAUAAAUCAAGAGCAUAUAUCUUGGGCUUCCCCUCUAGAGAAGGAGGGGAAAACUUUUUGGAUAUGGUUUCAGAGCAGAGGUUAUCUUCCCCACACCAAAAAACAACAGAGCUGUUUCUGGCCUGAAUCAAGCAACUGCAGUAGAAAACAGCUAGAACUUCCCCAUGUACUAUCCAUAAAGGCACAGGGUCAAACAGAAUUAUGUGCUAGAGUUGGGAUAAAAAACGAAACGGUUUUCCCAUCCAGGGAAUAUUUUCAAGAUACAAAAAAACUUCCCCAAAGUCAAAAUCUUGAAAGCUUUUGAGAACUAAACAUCUGAAAAAAGUUUCAUCUUGAUCAUUUCAAACAGCGUAGUUUUAAUUUUGACCUUUUUUAAAAUCUAAAUUUACUAAAAUUUCAAAAUGAAAAAUCAUUUAAAUUCUAAAACUUUAAACUUCUUGCUUGAAAAUGUUGAAAUGGGAUGUUAACAAUUUUGAACAUUUUUCUUUUUCCCAAAAAUUGUUCAAGUCGGGAGAUUUGUUGAAACCGAUGCUGUUUCACAAACAGUGUUGACAAAUCGGCAUUUUGGGUGAAAAACUGUUUGUUGAAAAAUUCCAAACAAGUUUAAUUCUCUCCCAGUUGAAAUACAGGAUUCAGAUGGAGUGGGAACAUUGGGGGGUUACAGCAUUAGGAGAUGGUUAGGAUGAAGGGGAGCUAACAACCAAAGGCAAUGCAACAAAUGAAAAUAUGUCCAAUCUC
Molecule: long non-coding RNA, 1582 nt
Organism: Mauremys reevesii (Reeves's turtle)
Lineage: Eukaryota; Metazoa; Chordata; Testudines; Geoemydidae
Exons: 3
Source: RefSeq, a predicted model, not a curated record